GCGACCCCAGGUCAGGUGGGACUACCCGCU
RNAcentral lists this ribosomal RNA (30 nucleotides) under Gynoxys buxifolia. RNAcentral describes it as "partial 25S ribosomal RNA". The record is from RNAcentral. Lineage: Eukaryota; Viridiplantae; Streptophyta; Magnoliopsida; Asterales; Asteraceae.